RNAcentral lists this long non-coding RNA (548 nucleotides) under Hordeum vulgare. RNAcentral describes it as "long non-coding RNA (HVUL_LNC020812)". Lineage: Eukaryota; Viridiplantae; Streptophyta; Magnoliopsida; Poales; Poaceae. The record is from RNAcentral.
AAUCAGUAUCGGCCGGCCUGUUGACGCCAUGGAACAAGAAAUCCAGUUAAGAUCCAAUCAACAAGAGAAUUUUGCCCGUCUCGGCCGCCAGAGCUUCGAUAGGCGUCGAAGCCAAGCAGAAAAGAUGUGCUAUCUUUCAGGUCGGCAUACGGAAACUAUCCAGACGGCUCCAUCCAUAUCCAUAUCCAUGGCAUGAGAAUCGAGAUGCCAAGAUCUUAGACCCUUUUCUUUUUGGAGAGGAGGAAGGGGAAAGGAGAGGUCAAGGGGAGGAAAGAGGUGGGGUGGGGUGAGGCGAGGAAGAAGAUAAUAGCCACACGGGAGGCCUGUACAAAACUCACUCCCUCCGUAUGCGGGUCAGUUUCCAUCUAUAUUCGGAGGAGUCAAAAACACGCAAGGAAACCAAACUAUUUUUUUGCUGGCAUCGUGACGGAAGUUUUGACAAGAUCGCGAGUCGGUUGCUGCGUCAGCCAAGCGAUCCGCCGUGUAGUUACGUCACGUGUGGAUGUGAAAACCUUUGCGUAACAGAGACAAAAGGAGGUUGCCAGAGG